AUACUGCAUGGUUUCUGACUGCUUUCAGAGGUUUUGUUCUGACAAAUAUGUGCUUUUUUCCACUUAUUUGAAGUAAAACAGGUUCAAGAGCACAAUAAAUAAACUGCAAAAGCUGAGGUGUUGUCUUCUAGUAUUUUGAGUUUUCUAGUAUUUUUAUUCUUUAAAAUGGAAUCUAAAUUUAGAAUUCUAAACUUUCUCAUGUCUAUGGUUCAGUUUCUAAAAAGACCCUUGACUGAAUAAGCACUAGUUGUUUUCAACUUUAACUGCGAGUUAAUAAAGUGUUUUGCCUGGAAAUAAUACAUUAUAUUUCCUACAGUGUGGUACUGAGUAGCUCAGAAACACAUAAAUCAUGCUGAAACUGUGACUCUUGAUGCAAUCAUACAGCAUUGUUUCAUGAUAGACUGUUGUGUUAUAACUAAGCAUUCCCUUGUGAAAAAGUACCAUUUUUUUCUUUGCUUUCCAGGCUUUUUUUUUUUUUUUUUCCUAACAGAAACUGUACCUGAAAGUGCUAAAGCUCAAAGCUCUCAGGAAAUUGCCCUGAAACUGAAAACCUCCAGGAAAUUGAAUGGACAUACUGCAUGCAACAUCCAAGGAAUUGCAAAACAGAACCUUCCUUUGAGGUAUGGACCUUAACUGAAAGCCUCAAGUGCCACUGGCAUGAAGAAGCCCUUUAUUGUGAGUAUGUUGUUGAUGCAGCGUAAGGAUGAGAACUCUUCACUCUGCCAGAAAAGCUUGCUGAAGUGCUGAAUGUCUUGGGAAUAAAAAGGUGUAACCAUAUCUUUCUUUCA
RNAcentral lists this long non-coding RNA (788 nucleotides) under Anas platyrhynchos platyrhynchos (common mallard). RNAcentral describes it as "lncRNA (ENSAPLG00000025476.1)". The record is from RNAcentral. Lineage: Eukaryota; Metazoa; Chordata; Aves; Anseriformes; Anatidae.